GAUGAACGCUAGCGGCAGGCCUAAUACAUGCAAGUCGAGGGGCAGCAGGGUGUAGCAAUACAUCGCUGGCGACCGGCGCACGGGUGCGUAACACGUAUGCAACCUACCUUUAACUGGGGAAUAGCCCUCCGAAAGGAGGAUUAACACCGCAUAACAUCACGAGACGGCAUCGCCUUGUGAUCAAACCUCCGGGGGUUAAAGAUGGGCAUGCGUCCGAUUAGCUAGUUGGCGGGGUAACGGCCCACCAAGGCGACGAUCGGUAGGGGGUCUGAGAGGAUGAUCCCCCACACUGGUACUGAGACACGGACCAGACUCCUACGGGAGGCAGCAGUAAGGAAUAUUGGACAAUGGUCGCAAGACUGAUCCAGCCAUGCCGCGUGCAGGAUGAACGAUCUAUGAUCUGUAAACUGCUUUUGUUCGGGAAUAAACCCCUUCACGUGUGGAGGGCUGAAUGUACCGAAAGAAUAAGGGUCGGCUAACUUCGUGCCAGC
This 491-nucleotide ribosomal RNA is filed under the name uncultured bacterium. Its description in RNAcentral is "bacterial SSU rRNA". It matches the Rfam family "Bacterial small subunit ribosomal RNA", at positions 28 to 512 of the family's 1533-position model. The record is from RNAcentral.